CUUUUCCUUGGAGUUUUUUGUUUUUUUGUUUGUUUUUUGAUUUUUGUCUCCUGACACUUGGUUGGUUGAUGGAUGGAUGGCUUGAUGCUCCUCCACAAUUAAAAAAAUAAAGUCAAAAAAUCCUGAAAAUUUUGUGUUU
Molecule: non-coding RNA, 139 nt
Filed under: Pycnococcus provasolii
Lineage: Eukaryota; Viridiplantae; Chlorophyta; Pseudoscourfieldiophyceae; Pseudoscourfieldiales; Pycnococcaceae
Source: RNAcentral